Molecule: ribosomal RNA, 497 nt
Filed under: uncultured bacterium
Lineage: Bacteria
Description: partial 16S ribosomal RNA
Rfam family: Bacterial small subunit ribosomal RNA
Source: RNAcentral
GAUGAACGCUGGCGGCGUGCCUAAUACAUGCAAGUCGAGCGAACAGACGAGGAGCUUGCUCCUUUGACGUUAGCGGCGGACGGGUGAGUAACACGUAGGUAACCUACCUAUAAGACUGGGAUAACUUCGGGAAACCGGAGCUAAUACCGGAUAAUAUUUCGAACCGCAUGGUUCGAUAGUGAAAGAUGGCUUUGCUAUCACUUAUAGAUGGACCUGCGCCGUAUUAGCUAGUUGGUAAGGUAACGGCUUACCAAGGCAACGAUACGUAGCCGACCUGAGAGGGUGAUCGGCCACACUGGAACUGAGACACGGUCCAGACUCCUACGGGAGGCAGCAGUAGGGAAUCUUCCGCAAUGGGCGAAAGCCUGACGGAGCAACGCCGCGUGAGUGAUGAAGGUCUUCGGAUCGUAAAACUCUGUUAUUAGGGAAGAACAAAUGUGUAAGUAACUGUGCACGUCUUGACGGUACCUAAUCAGAAAGCCACGGCUAACUACGUG